Molecule: non-coding RNA, 58 nt
Organism: Aedes albopictus (Asian tiger mosquito)
Lineage: Eukaryota; Metazoa; Arthropoda; Insecta; Diptera; Culicidae
Source: Rfam
UAGCCUAGUGGUUAAGGCUAUGGAUCGCCAAUCCGGAGCCGGCGGGUUCGAUUCCCGU